RNAcentral lists this long non-coding RNA (5036 nucleotides) under Glycine max (soybean). RNAcentral's name for it is "long non-coding RNA (GMAX_LNC002406)". Lineage: Eukaryota; Viridiplantae; Streptophyta; Magnoliopsida; Fabales; Fabaceae. The record is from RNAcentral.
UUUUCCAUCUGAAUUUGGAUUGGAUGUGGAUCGUCACGAUUCAGUUGACCCAGUUAGAGAAGUUUUCGAGGAAAAAGCAAGAAUUCGAAGAAUAAUUGAAGCCGAAGGAAUUCCAUACACUUACCUAUGUUGUCAUGCCUUUACUGGUUACUUCUUACGUAACCUGGCACAGAUUGACAUCACUGUUCCUCCGAGGGACAAGGUAUUCAUUCUAGGAGAUGGAAAUGUGAAAGGUAAUAAACUAUAGCUGAAUUAGUUAUAAACGAUUUUAAUUGUUUCAGCACAAGUGAUAAAUCUCAGAGACACAACUCAGUUGCUUCAAAGUGUACAUGUUUUUUUUACUUGUUUCAGGAGCGUUUGUGACUGAGGCUGAUGUGGGAACUUUGACCAUCGAAGCAGCGAAUGACCCUAAUGCCUUGAACAAAACCGUGCACAUAAGACUCCCUAAGAAUUAUUUGACCAUAAAUGAGAUCAUCUCUUUGUGGGAGAACAAAAUUGGGAAGACUCUUGAAAAAACUUAUGUUUCAGAGGAAAAGGUUCUUAAAGACAUUAAGGGUCGGUAACAAAUUCAUUUUUAAAAAUAUAUGUGAAACUAAUUCUUGAUUUAUAAUGUUUUUUUUUGGUUUACUGCAGAGGCUUCUUUUCCAAACAAUUACCUGCUGGCAUUGUACCACUCACAGCAGAUAAAGGGAGAUGCAGUGUAUGAGAUUGACACUGCCAAAGAUCUUGAGGCUUCUGAAGCUUAUCCUAACGUGGAAUACACCACCGUCGAUGAAUAUUUGAAUCAGUUUGUCUGAUUUUUGAGUAAUUGAUGCAAUUUUUGUUGCUCUGCAAAGUGCUCAAUAAAACCUAUGCCUUUUCUUUUUUGCGAAAUUGGUUGCUUUUGUCCUAUGUUUCGGAAACCAUCCACAUUAAUGUAAUCUUUUUUUUUUUUACCUUAAUAAUACUCUAAUCUGCGGUCGGAAGCACUGUUUAAAUUUUUUUACAUCAUUCAUGAAUACGUGUCACUGCUCCAUUUUCUGGCGAGGGGUUCACACUGGACUCACACGUGGGUGUGAAAGAGUGAUAGCACUCCACAAUUAUACUCUACAAAUUGUUGCAUAAAUAAAAUUAAAAAAUAUAUAUGACUUAACGGAACAAAAAAAUAAAUGCUACAUUAUUUUAAGUAUUUUUAGACUUAUAUUUCCAAUUAAAAUUAUAUUUUUAUUUUGAUAAUCAAUGUAAUAAAAAUAGGCAUUAGCGGUAAUUAGUAAAGUAAAACUUUAAUUUGAUUGAAAAACACUUAUAACAAAAAUAUCUAAAGUACUCCUACAUCAAAAAAAAAAAAUUGGGAAUAAAGUAAUUGUUUUGUUUAAUUGUAUUUUCAUUUUCUUCCAAAUUCAAAUAUAUUACUAUUAUUUUUUUAAAAUCUUGUAGAAAUUUUAAAAAUUUAUGUGGUCUUUGAUUCUGAAAAGUAUGAAACGAUAGUCAAUAGAUAGAAUGGUAGAAUCAGUAAAAAAAAAAAAAAAAAGUAGUAUGAUCUUUUAAAAUAUACUAUAUAGGACGACGUUAUUGACACGUUCGAGUCCUUCUCAAUAAGCAUGAUGUUAGGUGCACACUAAAGUUAGUCAACAUUAUAUAAGAGAUAAUGAUAUAAGAGAGGAGGGAAAAAUAAUAAUAUAACAAUAGGGGAUAUAUAUGAAAAAAAAAAUUAAAAAAGAAAGUAGAAGUAUUAAAUAAGUAUUUAUAUUACUUAAGUGUUUUUGUAUUGUUGUUAUUAAAUUCAAAAAUAAAAACUAGUUUAGGAAUCCAAUUGAGAAAUAAAUACAAGUUGAGGGAUUCAAUUCAAAAAAGUAAUUCAGUGAUCAAAUUAAAAAUUGUCAAAUAAUUCAAAGACAUGUGAAUUAAUUUAAUCUUGUUUAAAUUACUUUUAUGAUUAACUAGCUGAAAAUAGAUGAAUCAUUGGAAAUUAGAGAGGCCAAAUGAUAAGCAAAAUAAGAACAAAUAUUUAUGAAGUAUUAAUUGGAAAUUAGAAGUUUUUGGAAAAUUUAAAUAUCCUUAUAUGAUGUUGAUCUUCAUCCACAAUCAGCAUUUGUAAAUGUAAAUUUGAAGUAGUUUUUCCCCUUUUUGUUUUCAUUAUCAGGUUCAUUCAUGUCUUGCCAAUAGAAGUUUUUGGAAAAUCAACUUUUGAGCUUGUACGCAGUUGUAGUUAUGUUCAUGAAACGUCUUCAGUUCACAAUAGCACUAUAAUUUAGAACUACUCUUUUAUGCUCAAUUUGCCACUUCAUUAGCUUUUUAUAACAUAUUAAGCAAGUUGCUUAAAAAAAAUACAUGUACGUCUUAUAAAAAAUGCUUUUGAUAUGUGUUGUACAUAGAAAACGUUCUUACCUAAAUUCAACUAUGUAUAAACUGAAACUAAUAUAGAAAAUGAAAGGUGUGUAUUUAACUUUUAGAAUUCAAUUAUGUGGAAAAAAAAACUUUUAAAAUUCAAUUUUAUCAAAAUUUAUGCAGAAACAAACCUAAAUAUAAUGACCCUGUGGUUGGUUUACUGAUUUGUCAUGAUUUCAUGUUCAGUUGACACAUUACAUACGAUUAAAUAUAAAAUUGCUACAAGAGUCGUUUAUAUUGACCAGUCAAUACGGUGUGUGUACAUGCAUGUGACUCUAUUCAAACCAUUUAUAACAAAAAAAUUUUAAAUAAUCAAUUUAAAUAAGAGAAAGAUUAUAAAAAAUAUAUAUUAAGAUAAAUUAAAUUAUUUUUAUAUUUGAAUACAUUAUAAUAAAAAUGGUUUUAAACUGAUUCAUUUCAUUUAGAUAACUUUAAAGUAUUUUUUUACAAUAAAAUUGCAAAAAAUAAGUGAAAUAAUUAUUUAUAGUAGUAAAUUUUGUAUUUAAAUCAAUUAUUUGUUAGGGAUAAGAUGGAAAAUUAAAACUAACCAAAAUACACAAAUUGGUAGCUUUUAAUUAUAAAUUUUAAGAUUUUAUUUAUCAUAGAAAAAUAUUUUCAUUUAUUCAGAUUUGAUCAUAAAAUACUACACAUUUGAAUAAUAUUGUCGUACUGAUAAUGUUUUCUAUCAAUUAAUUUAUAAUAUUUAAAAUAACAUAAAUCCAAACAUAUUUUGAUUAUUUUACGGUAAAGAGAGACAAAAAUAUGAGAAUGCAAUUAUUAUUGAUUAAAAACCAACAACUCUCUACUAUAGUCAAUAAAGAUGGGAUAUGUAAUUUUAACUACAAAGUUUUUUUUUUAGCAUAUUAAUAAAUUUUGAAGAUUGAUAUCAACAAUUUUUAAUAUUUUAUUAUAAAUAUGAAAAGAAAGUAAAUAAACUUUAAUGAAAUAAUAUUUUAGUAAAAAUUAUAAAAUAUUGAUUUGAUUUGAAUUUUAUUUUAAAUGAAAAUCAAAUCGAAUCGAAUCGUAUAUAUUUUUUAAGUUUGAUCCAAAUGAUUUUUUUGAUGAAAAAUCAAAUCGAACAACAAAUAUCUCUAAUAAUUUAUAACUAAACUAUAAUUGUUAUUAAUGAAUAAAAAUGAGUUUAAUGAUUAUACACUUUGAUGAUGUAAAAAAAAUUCUACCAUAAAUUUAUUGACUUUCAUUGAUAAAUAUUUUAAAAGUUAUAUUAAUAAUAAAUUAUGAUUGAAAAAUGUUUGAUUUUGUUUUACUUAUAUAUGUAUAGCUAUAGUGGUGGACCUACAGCGAGUCGAGGGUUUGUACUUAUACCCUCUCAUUUUUUUAAAAUUCAUCAAAUUUAUAAAUAAAAUUUUAUAUUUUUAUAUUUUAUUUUAUUUAUAUUUAUAUAAUUAAACCCAUUAAUUUUAUUUUUUAUAAUUUACACUCAGUCACUUAGGGUCUUGGAUCUGCCAAAUGUAUAGCUGGUUGAGAAUAUAUAUAAUCGGUUAGAUAAUAAGCUUUUCAUAAUUAAUUAUGAAAUGAUUAUAAUAAUCACUUUAUACAUUGGUUAUUAAAUAGCUAUGAAAAUGUCGUGACAAGCAGCCCCAGUUGUAAGUACAGAACUACACAUAUAUUCUUCGACAGUCAACUCAAUAGCCUAUCCAAAAAAAAGGUUGUUUCAGAAUUGAGAGCACCGGUCGCUGGACGGAAACAAAAUGGAUAUUUGUUUAAUUGACAUGAGAAAGAUGGAAAUUAAUUAGGGAAGAAAUGUCAUACAGAUCAAAGUUAGUGCCCUAUAAAUACUAACCAAAGCAUUGCUCUGCACCACAAGCCAUUGCUAGUUUAGUUCCAUACAUAGCAAGAAAAACACACUCACACACAGUGCUUGUUUAGACUAGUGAUCUUCCAUGGCUGUGAAGGAUAGAAUCCUGGUCUUGGGACCCACAGGAGCCAUUGGAAGGCACAUAGUUUGGGCAAGUUUAAAGGCAGGGAAUCCCACUUUUAUAUUGGUUAGGGACACCCCUGCCUCUGUUAACAAGCCAAGGCUUGUCACUGCUGCUAAUCCUGAAACCAGGGAAGAACUCAUUCAGAGCUUCCAAAAUUCUGGAGUUACUCUAAUCCAGGUUGAUGCUUUCAUUUCAAGUCUGCUGACAUCAUUAGGUUCCGAUAUCCGAAGUAUUUGAGAACUUAAUUUAUCUGUUUAAUGGGAUAUGCAGGGAGAUCUGAAUGAUCAUGAAAGUCUGGUUAAAGCAAUCAAGCAAGUUGAUGUAGUAAUCUGCUCAUUUGGUAGACUACUAAUAGAAGAUCAGGUCAAGAUCGUUGCAGCAAUAAAAGAAGCUGGAAACGUUAAGGUGCGCACUUUGCUCCCUUUUUGUUGUAUGAUAAUUUUGCUGUUGGGUUAAAUUAAACUAUUCUUACUUUCUUGUGUGAACAGAGAUUUUUUCCAUCUGAAUUUGGGCUGGAUGUGGACCGUCACGAUGCAACUGAGCCAGUCAGAGAAGUUUUCGAGGAAAAAGCGAAAAUCCGAAGAGUAAUUGAAGCUGAAGGAAUUCCAUACACUUACCUAUGUUGCCAUGCCUUUACUGGUUACUUCUUACGUAACCUUGCACAGAUUGACAUCACUGUUCCUCCUAGGGACAAGGUUUUCAUUCAAGGAGAUGGAAAUGUCAAAG